Molecule: ribosomal RNA, 492 nt
Filed under: uncultured bacterium
Lineage: Bacteria
Description: partial 16S ribosomal RNA
Rfam family: Bacterial small subunit ribosomal RNA
Source: RNAcentral
AGUGAACGCUGGCGGUAGGCCUAACACAUGCAAGUCGAACGGCAGCACAGUAAGAGCUUGCUCUUACGGGUGGCGAGUGGCGGACGGGUGAGGAAUACAUCGGAAUCUACUUUUUCGUGGGGGAUAACGUAGGGAAAUUUACGCUAAUACCGCAUACGACCUACGGGUGAAAGCAGGGGAUCUUCGGACUUUGCGCGAUUGAAUGAGCCGAUGUCGGAUUAGCUAGUUGGCGGGGUAAAGGCCCACCAAGGCGACGAUCCGUAGCUGGUCUGAGAGGAUGAUCAGCCACACUGGAACUGAGACACGGUCCAGACUCCUACGGGAGGCAGCAGUGGGGAAUAUUGGACAAUGGGCGCAAGCCUGAUCCAGCCAUACCGCGUGGGUGAAGAAGGCCUUCGGGUUGUAAAGCCCUUUUGUUGGGAAAGAAAAGCAGCAGGUUAAUACCCCGCUGUUCUGACGGUACCCAAAGAAUAAGCACCGGCUAACUUCGUG